This 473-nucleotide ribosomal RNA is filed under the name uncultured bacterium. RNAcentral's name for it is "bacterial SSU rRNA". It matches the Rfam family "Bacterial small subunit ribosomal RNA", at positions 29 to 506 of the family's 1533-position model. The record is from RNAcentral.
ACGAACGCUGGCGGCGUGCUUAACACAUGCAAGUCGAACGAUGAACUCCCAGCUUGCUGGGGGGGAUUAGUGGCGAACGGGUGAGUAACACGUGAGUAACCUGCCCUGGACUCUGGGAUAACCCCGAGAAAUCGGAGCUAAUACCGGAUAGGACCCUGGACCGCAUGGUUUGGGGUGGAAAGUUUUUCGGUCUGGGAUGGACUCGCGGCCUAUCAGCUUGUUGGUGAGGUAAUGGCUCACCAAGGCGUCGACGGGUAGCCGGCCUGAGAGGGUGACCGGCCACACUGGGACUGAGACACGGCCCAGACUCCUACGGGAGGCAGCAGUGGGGAAUAUUGCACAAUGGGCGCAAGCCUGAUGCAGCAACGCCGCGUGCGGGAUGACGGCCUUCGGGUUGUAAACCGCUUUUAGUAAGGAAGAAGGGGAGCUUGCUCCUUGACGGUACUUGCAGAAAAAGGACCGGCUAACUACGU